This 954-nucleotide long non-coding RNA is filed under the name Rattus norvegicus (Norway rat). RNAcentral's name for it is "long non-coding RNA NONRATT022327". The record is from RNAcentral. Lineage: Eukaryota; Metazoa; Chordata; Mammalia; Rodentia; Muridae.
AAGGAUACCCCACCAGCCUCCAGGAUGGGAGGCAAAGUCAAAAUGAGCAGGAAAGGGAGAGAGGAAACAAAAGGGGCUUGAUUGUUUCUGGAGGGUCAAGGCUGAAUCCUACAUUCAGGAGGGUGAGGGGCCUCAGAGAGCUGCCCUCACUCUGUAGGGCAGAUCUUACCGCUCCCAUUUUACAGAGGAGGAGACCCAGGGUCCACAGGUCACAUUUCUAGUGGGUGGCAAGGCGAGAUUCCCAGAGUCUGACCCCAAGAUCGGGCACAGAGCCACAGGAUGCCUCAAGCCUCCUGCUCUGGGGCUUGUCUAACGCUGCAUGUGUCCCAUGCGGGAUGUGGUUUUCCCUCACGGAGGCUGCUGUCUGGCCCUCCUCACUUUACAUUCCAUUGCAAGCAUUUCCUGUUGUGAAUGUUUAAUCCUGAGUGUGUUUUAAUGACUGGUGGCAGGCACCCUGUUAGCAUUCUUACCCCAUUCUUCCUAAACUGUGUUCCCUGUGGAGAACUAACUUCUGCUAAUAUACAUGCAACAUCUUGAAGAAUCUGACUAAACCUGAGUGUUGGAAUUUCUAAUUAUUGUUCUAGGAUACGUUCAUAAAAAUCAGAGUUUCCAGCAUGGACUCAGGAGCCAGAGGGCCCUAUUUGAAUUCUGGUUUCACCCUGUGCUGCAUGUGUGACUUUGGGCUAAUUAUUUAAAGGCUCCAUACCUGGCUUCCAUUUCUGUAAACAGGAAUCAUAGUAGCUCGCACCUCACUGCAUUGUUCUUGGGGCUGAACCACGUGUGUUUUUGCGUGUCACGGUAUAUAUAGGCGUAUGCUAGCAGCAUAUGUAAAUAAUUUCUAACAUGCCUGCACAGAAAAGCUGAGGGUGCCUAGCUGUUGAUGUCUUAGCCACUGCCUUUGGGGAAGGUUGAGCUAAUACUGGAAGAACAUUAAAGACACUGAAAAGACAACUC